Molecule: long non-coding RNA, 3940 nt
Organism: Malaclemys terrapin pileata
Lineage: Eukaryota; Metazoa; Chordata; Testudines; Emydidae
Exons: 2
Source: RefSeq, a predicted model, not a curated record
AUCAAUAAAUCUGCAGUUUUAAAGUGCUGUUCUGCUCUGAAAACUGACUGUAAAAAUGGCACCUUUUCACCCAACCAACUGGGUAUUCAAAGUCUGGCUUGCUUUACUGACUAAAAUAAGAUAUAGCUAUUACUCCUAUUAGCAUAGCCAAUAAGAGUAUGGAAGACUGAACUGGCAUCUGUGAGUCAUGUACCAACAACAUUGCUGAGUAAAUUCAGUCUGCAGAAUCUUUAUUGUUAGGCUCUGAAUUAGCAGACUCAUACUUGACUUUCAGAGUCUAGGCCUAGUUUGUAGGGCUAGCAUCUACAGAGAGGGGGAAUAAAUCUUCGUGCUAAAAUCAGCAGCUUUGAUCCAGAAGCCAAUGCAAAACAUUGACUAUUGAAUUACGCAAUGCCAUUUUUAAUUAAGAGUAGAAACUCCUUCUUAAAAGGGCCUGUUCAUUCUCAACAGAUAAGCAUUGUUACCGGUUCAAAAAUGUUGGUGUCCCUAACUGGCCCAUCAAUCCUUCACUCUUUUAACGAUUUUGCUUUUAAAAAUCACUAAUGGGACUUAUAUAUUUUAAUAUAGGCAUGUCCAAAAUUAAGCUAUUGUACAUCUAACCCAUAUGUUUGCAUUGCAACAUUUAGUGGUGUAAAUAAGGGAAGGAACAGUGGAGGAUACAGAGUUUCCUUUUUUUGGGGUACUCUUGCCUACAGACUGACCACAACUAGGUAGGAUGAUUCCACUGGAUAGACUAGAAUCACCCAGAAAUUGGGUGUGGCAGGCAAAAGGUGUGCUCAUCGGUUGUUUGAAACUACUUAGGUGACUUCCAUUGUAGGCAAGUUGCUUGACAGUGCAAAUCCAGAAAAUGGAACUAAUGAGAACAAGAGGUGGGAAAGGAGUUUAUAAUAGUGUGCAUCUGCGAAAUUGGUGGAUUCAGCAAUACAGGAGCUCAAGGAUCGGAAGGGUCUACUGUAAUGAUUGUGUUCAAAGGACUUUCAGUUUUGUUGGAUUAAACUGCAGGCUCCCAGUGGAGAAGAGGAUGACUAGAAUUUGCUCUUGGCUGUGCAAAUUGCAGAAGGUUGUUGCAAAGACUCAAGGGAAGUUUUGUAGGAAGCUGUGGCACUAUCAUUUGUUUCCCAACUUUGAGAAGUUAGAAUGCACUGAUGUGAAUUUGGACACCAUUCCACAGAGAUUGAGAAGGGUAAACCCUCCCAGAGAAGAUCCCUAGGGAAGCUGUAUGUAUGUGUGCAUCCAUAAUUUUAUGUUUUUGCAUUUGAACUUAUGAUAGUAACAAGUACUAAAAACUUGGGAGAACAUCCUCAACCCCCAAAGUGUUGUCUGUAAACAAGUUAUUGUCAAAUAUUCACAAAUGUUUCAAGGGUUAUAAGUAAAUUGUUCUGUAUGCAAAUUAUUUAGUAAAUAUUUUCCUUUAGAGAUUGUGUUGCUCUCCUAUCAGUAUAGUAUAGUAGAUACUAUAAACCCCUGUACUAUAUACUAUACUAGAUCUGUAUAGUAGAUAUAGAUAUAUAUCAGAGUCCUGAAAAAACUAAAUUUCUGGACUGUGCCAUAGAGAGAUAAGCAGAGGUACAGGAAAGGGGAAAGAAACGUUAUAUCCAACAUUAGAAUAGUGCUUUCUCCACAUCUGUUACACGUGGUCAUUUCUAAAGUAAACAUGGAUAAUUUCAGAUGUGAAGGCCAAUGCCACACAGAUUAAUACACUGCUCAAAUUAUUUAAGAUGUUACCAUGCUUUUUGGUUCAUGAGGCUCUUCAUAGUAUCUUCAUUCAAUGUAAGUGGAGAAAUAAGAAUCACAGAGUGCAUCUCCAUUCACUUCAGGCUGUCCAUGAUUUGUAUUCUUUAAGUUUUAGCAGUGCCGGUCAUAUACAUUUUAUGUCCUGUUGGCUUCUUGUUCCCUAAAUGUGUUGCUAGUAGUAAACCAAGACAAUUUCAGGUCUGUCAGCCAUGUGGAGAAACCCUGAUUUCUAUGUUAAAUUAGAAUUUUAAAGCUUCGCAUGCUAAUGAUGAUACACUGCGAAAAUUGAAUACUUAAUAUUCCAAAAUAUAUUAAUGCCUCUUGCUCAAAUUCUGCUCACCAUAUAAUUUCCCUUCUUCCUCUUGGUUGAUGAUAUACCAUUGUAUUUGCAACUGGAUUACUGUCUCAAAAACACUUUUCUCAUUAGUGAACUGUAUUGCUCUUGGGAGGAAAAUAAAGUAGCCUUUCUGUUGCUUUUAGGAGGAAGAAAGGUAUCCCUUCUAAAUGAUCAAUAAAUGACUGACAAACCACAAAUAAUGCCAUGCAACAAAACUCUUGCACUAGUUUCACCCUGGUGUAAUCGCUCUGACAUCAAUUGAAUCAUUUCCGUUGUACAUCACCUGAGAUCAGAAUAAAACUUAGAAAUCAGUUAUAGGACGCUCAGGGCUUAACAUUUCUGAAGAAUCCUGGAUACCAUAAAAAUUAUUCUCAUUAAGGUAUCUUAUAGAGCUAAACUUGGGGACUGUUUAGAUUUGUUACAUAGCUUACCUUUUCCAUUGCUGUAUGUUUAAUGACUAUUAGGCUGGAAAAAAUUGGAUGAAAUUAUCUACAAUAUAAAUCCUCCCAAAUACCUCAGUAGCAGGUAGCCCAUAGGGGAUGGGAAUGGAUUUCUGUCAGCCUGCACCUCAACCAUCAUGGAGCAGCACCAGAGUUGCUCUAUAGCAGGGGCAGGCAACCUAUGGCAUGCGUGCCAAAGGCAGCAUGAGAGCUGAUUUUCAGUGGCACUCACACUGCCCAGGUCCUGGCCACUGGUCCAGGGGGGUUCUGCAUUUUAAUUUAAUUUUAAAUGAAGCGUUUUAAACAUUUUAAAAACCUUAUUUACUUUACAAACAACAAUAGUUUAGUUAUUUAUUAUAGACUUAUAGAAAGAGACCUUCUAAAAAAGUUAAAAUGUAUUAACCUGCACGCGAAACCUUAAAUUAGAGUGAAUAAAUGAAGACUUGGCACACCACUUCUGAAAGGUUGCCGACCCCUGCUCUAUAGCCACUACUAUAUCUUCUAGUCUACAGUCCAGUACAUAGUUCAGGUACUACCAUUGUGCAGAGGGAAAUGGCCAAUAAAUUUGGCAGCCCUGAUUUCAGGUGAGUGCUUACUGUGUAUUGUUAUAUUGUGUAGAUAUUUAAUGUGUUAUAUUUAAAUAUUUUUAUUCUGGUUUUGUCUUCAACUCUCUUGGCCACAGAUCUUUCCUUCCAGAGCAAAGUGUAGAACACACUUCAGGUUAGCUUUUCCACAACAAGGGAAAAAGAUAGACGGGAUAAAUAAAGAGGUGGCUCACUAGAUCAUCUUACUAACGGAACUUCAUACAUGAUCAUCUUGGCGCUGAGAUAUGGUGAUAGAUGUGCGACUACAAAUCCUGACAUUCACUGAAGUCAACAGGAAAGCUCCCGGCCAGAAUUUUUUCCUGACUCUGUGCUUUAUGCCUGCAGCUAAGAUCUGGAAUGUUCAGGCAGAUGCUCUCUAGGUUUGUUGGACUGGUGAAAAGGGUGUUCUGAAGAGACUUUGCUCCCUUCUUCCUUCCUGAUUAGAGCAACAGAGUUAAAAAAUGAUUAUCUUUAUUGCAUGUUGCAAGGCAUAUCUAUUUUCUGAAGAUGUAGUUUGAAUAGUGGAUGAGAUUUUUUUUCCCCCUAUGGAAGAUAGAGGUGGAGGAGAGAUUCCUUAUUGUUAAUUGAUGUUAGUUCAGUGUACAGUAUGUGAUUUUAUAGUUCUUGUACCUGGGCCUAGAAACCAAUAUAUAGUACUCACACUUUAUAAACCAAAAUAUGCUGUCUCUUGUAUGGUUAAAAAUAAAUAAAAAAUUAUCAAGAGCCUUUCCAGCCAAAGAGGAUCUUUUUCCCUCAAAGCAGAAUGUGAAUUGUAAACCAUUUCAAAAUCAAAGGUUGUAACUGUUAUCCUGGCUUGAUUCUUGAAUAAAGUGUUAAAACUCCAA